GACGAACGCUGGCGGCGUGCUUAACACAUGCAAGUCGAACGGAAGGGCCCUGCUUUUGUGGGGUGCUCGAGGGGCGAACGGGUGAGUAACACGUGAGUAACCUGCCCUUGACUUUGGGAUAACUUCAGGAAACUGGGGCUAAUACCGGAUAGGAGCUCCUGCUGCAUGGUGGGGGUUGGAAAGUUUCGGCGGUUGGGGAUGGACUCGCGGCUUAUCAGCUUGUUGGUGGGGUAGUGGCUUACCAAGGCUUUGACGGGUAGCCGGCCUGGGAGGGUGACCGGCCACAUUGGGCCUGAGAUACGGCCCAGACUCCUACGGGAGGCAGCAGUGGGGAAUAUUGCACAAUGGGCGGAAGCCUGAUGCAGCAACGCCGCGUGCGGGAUGACGGCCUUCGGGUUGUAAACCGCUUUCGCCUGUGACGAAGCGUGAGUGACGGUAAUGGGUAAAGAAGCACCGGCUAACUACGUG
Molecule: ribosomal RNA, 468 nt
Filed under: uncultured bacterium
Lineage: Bacteria
Description: partial 16S ribosomal RNA
Rfam family: Bacterial small subunit ribosomal RNA
Source: RNAcentral